RNAcentral lists this long non-coding RNA (1348 nucleotides) under Triticum aestivum (bread wheat). Its description in RNAcentral is "long non-coding RNA (TAES_LNC012914)". Lineage: Eukaryota; Viridiplantae; Streptophyta; Magnoliopsida; Poales; Poaceae. The record is from RNAcentral.
UGCAGACGAGAAGGUAAGAGGCAGGCAGGGUUGGGGAUUUUCACCGUGCCUAUUUAUUCAGUUUCUUCCGUUCCUAUCCUCCCACAUGACGGUUGAACACCAACAGGCGGAGAGCGCACACCGCUCCGAUGGAGAAAAACAUGUGAUUCAAAUCGUGUUGUACUAUGUUCUUAUCGUCUUAAUUGGUUGCUUUGUAUGAUAUGAUUGUGUUAGAUUAGUCUACGUUGGUUGCUAAAAUUUCUUGCAGUUUGUAUGUGCUUUUGUGGUCACUUACAUACAUAUGAUGGGUAUUUGCAGUCGUGUGUGGAGUGGACCCUUUUCUGGGUAUGCUGUGCAUCCCCAAGUAUUCGCCAAUUUAACAUUCACAUUCGAUGUUUGGUCGUGUGUAUAUGCAUUUCAGACGGUGGCAGUUUAAAAUUUUACUAGCAAGGCUUCAAAGAUUGUCAAAUUCUCAGAGUCUACUUGGAAGUUGACAAUACAUGCUAUGCCUCUGUUCAGGAUCUCUUUAUAUGUUUAUAUUUUGAGGUGAUUGGGGAUUGAACUGAACUUCUGCUUGCAGAUGGCAUGCAUAUGUUGAUGUACCAAAUAUCGAGGCAUUGCUAUAGCAGCCAUUGCUUUUGCCUAGCUGCGAUUCCAUCUAGCAUUGAGGUAUGUCUUUAAACUUAUCUUUUUUAGCUUUUGGUUUUCAAGUUACAUAGGAGUGAUUUGUUUUUUCUUUAGGGUUCUACCCAGCAACCGUCAGUGAUAUUGUUUGGGCUGCUUUUUAGCUCUUGCAAGCUCCUUUUGCUGUUAUGUGUUGCUGGAGUUUGGACUUGCAUAGAACUUCAAAGAAAACAAUUGGAAAACUAACCACUACAAUUAUAGUUACCGAUUGUAAUGGUAAAAUUAUCAAGAUUCACAACAUGAAAUCAAUAUUCUUAGAUGCAUCAUGAAAUUAAUUUCCAUAGCAUAUAGCUUUAGUAUUGUAGAUUUUGAUAUUUUUUCCUACAGAGUUAGUCAAAGUUCACAAAGUUUGACUUUGACCACAAUUUAUAUGCAGCCAAAAAGAAAUGGAGGGAGUAUUAAACAUGAUUUGAAUCCUUGGGCGUGCCUACAUAUGCUCUCUAUUUCAGAGUAUGAUGCUCUCAACAAUUGGAACAAUCAACAUGUAAAUCAGUCUAAGUAUAAUACCUCGUGAGCUGGGUCUCCAUUUUCAAUUGGCGGCUUUUCUUAAACAUUCAUACUUUUGGAAGGUUAGGAUAGCUUCCGAAGACACGAAGAGAAAUGCAAUGGGAACCAAUAUGGAUUUUUACUGUUUCUGGAAGGAUAUCUAAUUAAUUGCAUAUUUAUUAAGACCUGCCACUUUUUU